CUCCUAGUCCGACGUACAUCAUGGAUUGGACUCCUCUUCUCCUCCUGUUCCUCUUUUACUGCACAGGUUCCUUCUCCCAGCCUGUAGUGACUCAACCACCCUACCUCUCUGUAUCUUCUGGAGCAAACGCCAGACUCACCUGUUCUCUGAGCAGUGGCUCUCCACUUUCUGACUACCACAUUUCCUGGUACCAGCAAAAGACAGGGAACCGUCCUCAAUUUUUACUGAGAUACUACUCAGAUUCAAAUAAACAGCAAGGCUCUGGGGUUCCCAACCGCUUUGUUGGAUCCAAAGAUCCCUCAGCCAAUGCAGGAAUUUUGUUCAUCUAUGGACUUCAGUAUGAGGAUGAGGCUGACUAUUACUGUCAAGCAGAUUAUGCCAAUUAUGGAAGUUGCACAGUGGUUAAAAUGAAGGGAGAAGUGCCUGAACAACGAUUCCAGGGAGUUAGAACUUUUGGAAAAGGCAAAGGAUAG
This is a non-coding RNA of Cavia porcellus (domestic guinea pig), 473 nucleotides long. NCBI's taxonomy places the organism in Eukaryota, Metazoa, Chordata, Mammalia, Rodentia, Caviidae. The record is from the annotation of a RefSeq genome assembly.